Molecule: non-coding RNA, 114 nt
Organism: Triticum aestivum (bread wheat)
Lineage: Eukaryota; Viridiplantae; Streptophyta; Magnoliopsida; Poales; Poaceae
Source: Rfam
UAAAUACUCCCUUCGUUCCGAAUUACUUGUGCAGGUAUGGAUGUAUCUAGAUGUAUUUUAGUUCUAGAUACAUCCAUUUCUGCGACGAGUAAUUUGGAACAGAGGAAGUAGUUC